CCUACGGGAGGCAGCAGUGGGGAAUAUUGGGCAAUGGGCGCAAGCCUGACCCAGCAACGCCGCGUGAAGGAAGAAGGCUUUCGGGUUGUAAACUUCUUUUAAGAGGGAAGAGCAGAAGACGGUACCUCUUGAAUAAGCCACGGCUAACUACGUGCCAGCAGCCGCGGUAAUACGUAGGUGGCAAGCGUUGUCCGGAUUUACUGGGUGUAAAGGGCGUGCAGCCGGGAAGACAAGUCAGAUGUGAAAGCCCGCGGCUCAACCGCGGAACUGCAGUUGAAACUGUUUUUCUUGAGUACCGGAGAGGUAGUCGGAAUUCCUUGUGUAGCGGUGAAAUGCGUAGAUAUAAGGAAGAACACCAGUGGCGAAGGCGGAUGACUGGACGGCAACUGACGGUGAGGCGCGAAAGCGUGGGGAGCAAACAGGAUUAGAUACCCCUGUAGUC
RNAcentral lists this ribosomal RNA (442 nucleotides) under uncultured bacterium. Its description in RNAcentral is "partial 16S ribosomal RNA". It matches the Rfam family "Bacterial small subunit ribosomal RNA", at positions 338 to 795 of the family's 1533-position model. The record is from RNAcentral.